AUGACCUCUCUGGUGGGUGAAUAUGAAAAACAGGCUUGUUUUCUUUUCUAAAGAAAUGCUGGCAUGCUUGACUUUAGUGAAUCAAGAGAAUUGUUUGGCAAAUAACAGUGAUGGCUUGUGUCCUUGUCAGAACACCUGCUGUAUUCUCCCGGCAAACACUGGGGCCAUGGUGUUUCUCCUCUAAUGACACCUCAUCAAUCCGCUCCUAUCAACGUCCCAGCCAUGGAGGUGACUUGGAGUGCUCAGAAGCUAUAGAAAAUGUCAACGUUUUGGGAGAAAAGAGUGAGUCCCAUAGCUGAGGACCUGCUGCUGUGAUACUUUUGUACUCAUGCCUCACCCUCAUUCUCGCUGUUCUCCAAAAAAGUAAGUAAUGUCAGAUGGAGAUGCUCUUCUCAGUUGCACCCUAAUUUUACACUGGGAGUGACCCUGCUUCCUUCAUGCUUCAGUUCUCCUGAGAUGGGAAUGCAGAUGCAUGGCAGGAAGAAGAACUGUGCUGUGCUGCAGCUAGUUCCCAAACUGGGCAGUUUGGGGAGCAGGACUGCAGGAUACCACGGUGUGGCACCUCUGCUUGCAGGCUAGAUGUUUUCUCUGGUGGUGAAGGCCAGACUCAGGCACUGCAGUUGGCCUCUCCCAGGAUGAAGACUUCCAUAUACACUAAGUUUACGGGGUUGGAGUCAGCGCAUAAAGAAGUGUGCUCAGCAUGUGUUUCAGGGUGUUAACAUCCAUGAUGUAUAUGCUUGCCCUUGUUCGGUGAGUACAGCUUCGCUCCUAAUUAAGAAUUGCAGUAAUCAGGCAAGAGGUUUAUUGUGUGAAGCUGAAGAGCCAAAAUUAUUUGUGAAUUCAGUUCAGAUUCAAUGAGUUUUUUUUCACACAAGCUAGAAAUGGUUGUUUCAUUUCUACAUUUUGAAACAAAAUACUUUCAUUUUGAAACAAAUCUAAUUUCCUUCUUAGAGUGUGAAAUGAUAAUUGUUUUGCUGUAAAAACUAUUCUUGGGUUGAUCCAAGCCACUAGUAUUGUUGUGUUGGUGUUGUGGGUUUUGUGUGUGUGCUUUUUUUAAAAUUGUCAGCUGGAAAAAAUUAACUAUUUGCACAGUUGGUUACAUGAGACAGAUCAACAGCUCUGGGGCCGUAUCUGAGAUCAGGGUCUCUGCCAAGAAACAGGCUCAGCUGACGUUUAUUCUGCCACAGGCAGAGUAGAUGUAUCCAACACGUUCCUUGCAAAGCUUUGUCUUUGCUGGGUAUGGGGGUAAGAAAGGGAAU
This 1259-nucleotide long non-coding RNA is filed under the name Anser brachyrhynchus (Pink-footed goose). Its description in RNAcentral is "lncRNA (ENSABRG00000013897.1)". The record is from RNAcentral. Lineage: Eukaryota; Metazoa; Chordata; Aves; Anseriformes; Anatidae.